CCCUAGUCAGAAAAUGCUGAGAGCCACAGAAGCCUAGAGAAGGGGAGUGGCAGUUGCCCUGAGAUGGGAACCAGAGAAAGCUAGCAGUCAGGAACCAGCCAGAUACUUCAGGACCAGCACCAGCACCCAGAAACACGGAGACCUCGGACUGGACCACUGCAUGGACUCUGCGCCCUUCUUCAGCUGCAAUCCAGACGGCAUCAUACACCUCUCCCCAGCUCUCUGAACCACUCUCUGAGUCCCCUCUUGGACAAAGGCUGUGACUUCCGUCUUGCUGUGGAUACACUUCUGUGGAGAUAACACGCAGGGCUGUGACAGGAUGCUUCUGCUCUUACACCGAGGAGCAGGUAAAGAAGACAUUCAGCCACAGCUAGAGCUGUCUGCAACAGUCAUCCUCAGUGUUUGAACAGACACAGAAAAACAAACCAACAUUCCCCAAGCCCCUGGCUCUCAUAGGUUCCUCA
This is a long non-coding RNA of Alexandromys fortis (reed vole), 464 nucleotides long. RefSeq lists it as uncharacterized. The record is from RefSeq and is a predicted model, not a curated record. The transcript is spliced from 4 exons. NCBI's taxonomy places the organism in Eukaryota, Metazoa, Chordata, Mammalia, Rodentia, Cricetidae.